GACGAACGCUGGCGGCGUGCUUAACACAUGCAAGUCGAACGGAAAGGCCCUGCUUUUGUGGGGUGCUCGAUUGGCGAACGGGUAAGUAACACGUGAGCUACCUGCCCUUGUCUUUGGGAUAACUUCAGGUAACUGGAGUUACUACCAGAUAGGAGCUCCUCCUGGAUGGUGGGGGUUGGAUCGUUUGGGCGUUCGGGGAUGGACUCGCGGCUUACCGGCUUGUUGGUGGGGUAGUGGCUUACCAAGCCUUGGACGGGUAGCCGGCCUGGGGGGUUGACCGGCCACAUUGGGACUGAGAUACGGCCCAGCCUCCAACGGGAGGAAGCAGGGGGGAAUAUUGCACAAGGGGCGGAGGCUGGAUGAAGAAACGCCGCGGGCGGGAUACCGGCCUUCGGGUGGAAAACCGCUUUCGCAUGUGACGAAGCGUGAGUGACGGUAAUUGGUAAAGAAGCACCGGCUAACUACGUG
RNAcentral lists this ribosomal RNA (468 nucleotides) under uncultured bacterium. RNAcentral's name for it is "partial 16S ribosomal RNA". It matches the Rfam family "Bacterial small subunit ribosomal RNA", at positions 28 to 507 of the family's 1533-position model. The record is from RNAcentral.